This is a long non-coding RNA of Gymnodraco acuticeps, 1274 nucleotides long. RefSeq lists it as uncharacterized. The transcript is spliced from 4 exons. Lineage: Eukaryota; Metazoa; Chordata; Actinopteri; Perciformes; Bathydraconidae. The record is from RefSeq and is a predicted model, not a curated record.
CACGCAACAGGCAACAGUUGAACGGGGAGAGCGCCUCCAAGCAGAGUCUUAUUUGUAUAUCAUCGCAUUAUUUUGUUUGAUUAAAUGCUGUUAACGAUUAUUUAUAUAAGCUUCCUUGGACUCUUUUCAGUUUAUCCUGGUCUCGGGGUUUUAAGAAAUCCUAACACUAGAUUGAUUGUUUAUUUGACUACUGGUGCGAAUUCAUGAAUCUACAUUGAAAUUGAAACAACUAUAAUGCAAAAAUAACACAGUUAGCUAAACAUCUAAUUUGGUCAAAUUUGUCUCAGAUAAAACACACACAAAACAAAACAAAACAAAAAACACAAACAACAGAAAUAAGAAGGACAUACAUUAUAAAUCCCAUUAGGAGAGAAUCAGUUUUCACUCUAUAGUACAAAUACACACAUGCUAGGAUGCUAACACCAAUACAGGUUAGAAGGGUGAGGCGGUUCACCUGACCUCCACCUGGUCUGCAGGAGAGAGAUGUCUCCAUCUGCUCACCACUCCACCUGAGGAAUGUCUUCUGGUUUCGUGGAGCUCUUGGCCUCGCCGCUCCCGACUGAUGAUCAGCCAGAUAGCAUAACCUCCCGACCAAUCAGACGCUCGCAUCUGUACCUCAUCCCGCAGGUCCCUAACAGGGGGACUCACUCCUCAGAACACCAGGCGAUGAAGCACAAGAAGACACUGUGAAGGGAUCAGGCCCUUCAUCCAGGACACGGUUCAACCAUGUACUGCAGCAUGUGCACUUCACUCUGCAUCGGCCAUUUGGCUCAGGCAGUGUACUCCCUCACUGCGAGUUGGUCGCAGCAGUGGAUCACCCCGGCCCUCAGGACAAGGUAAAGAAAAAUCCACGCUGCUGUUAGUGCCGGAGUUACUCUCAGUCCAGCUCACAUAUCAACCCCCUCCACCCUCCAGAGGAGCUUUCAUCCGACUGAUCUUAUCUCACCAGAAAAGGAAAUUGACUUUGAUGACUUCCAUAAGUGAAGGAGAGUGCAGAAUAAAUGUCAUGUCCUUUCUCUUAACCCCCCACCUCCACCACCACCAUGGCUGCUAUCACCCUCUUCACCUGUUUGGUUACCUUCCCCCUACUCCCCCUAUUUUUCAUCUUGACUUUAUCUACAAUAUUUCACUCUUCCUGCUUAUUGUUCUGUUCUCGGAUAUUAAAGAGGCCCUAUUUAUCUCUUUCCUGUAGUGUGUUAUAUAAGUUGCUGUGCAUGUAAAUGGUCUGCAAAGGCUCAAAUCCCAAAGUUCCCUAAAGAGGGAGUUUCUCUCAA